UGAUUCAGAGGAAAUAAUAGAUGGACUUUCACUGGAAAAAUGAAUAUUUUCUGAGUGAAUAAAUGUAUAUAAGUGGUAUAUAAAGGUCAUUGGUGACCUUUAAGACAACUAUUUUCAUUGCAUGAACAGGUCAGAGGCCAAAUCAGAGAGGGUUAAAGAAGGACUAGAUGGUGGUGGAUAAUAAGCCCGUUGAGUGGGAGAGACUGAAGUUGCAAAUGGUAGUGGGAAAAACUGAUUAAAAAAAAUGUUUUGAAGGAAACAGGAGAUGGAAAAAAGAACACAUGUGGGACGAGUAGACUGGCAAGGAGGAAAAAUCGUACCUUCUUAAAAGAGAAAGGAGACCCUGGGAAGUAUCUAAAACUGGGGAGUGACACGAAGU
This 379-nucleotide long non-coding RNA is filed under the name Homo sapiens (human). RNAcentral describes it as "HSALNT0074646". Lineage: Eukaryota; Metazoa; Chordata; Mammalia; Primates; Hominidae. The record is from RNAcentral.